UAACAGAGGCGCGGAAAUCAUCAGUAACCCGGUUGACGGCAGGGCAUGCCGCGGGUGAAAGGGGUUUUCGCCGAGGCGGAAUCAGGCGCCCCUAUGAUUCUGCCGGGCCGUUGCAGAAUAUGUAACGGACUGUCACGGGAGUGGAGUGCUGUUU
RNAcentral lists this non-coding RNA (154 nucleotides) under bovine gut metagenome. Its description in RNAcentral is "Lysine riboswitch". It matches the Rfam family "Lysine riboswitch aptamer". From Rfam's summary of the family: Riboswitches are metabolite binding domains within certain messenger RNAs that serve as precision sensors for their corresponding targets. RNAcentral also lists the same sequence under 1 other name. The record is from RNAcentral.